UACGUAGGGGGCAAGCGUUGUCCGGAAUUAUUGGGCGUAAAGAGCGCGUAGGCGGUCCGAUAAGUCGGCUGUGAAAGUCAGGGGCUCAACCCUUGGAAGCCGGCCGAUACUGUCGGACUAGAGUCCGGAAGAGGCGAGUGGAUUUCCCGGUGUAGCGGUGAAAUGCGCAGAUAUCGGGAGGAACACCAAUGGCGAAGGCAGCUCGCUGGGACGGUACUGACGCUGAGGCGCGAAAGCGUGGGGAGCAAACAGG
Molecule: ribosomal RNA, 253 nt
Filed under: uncultured bacterium
Lineage: Bacteria
Description: partial 16S ribosomal RNA
Rfam family: Bacterial small subunit ribosomal RNA
Source: RNAcentral